UUCUCCUCCUCCAUCGACCUUCUCCAGAUUCUAAAAUUUUCCACAUCCUCCCGAGAGAUUAAGUGUUCACUAAGAUUACCCACACGCUCAAACUCAUAUUUUGAAGCACAUCGUCUCACUCCACAAAAAACAAAAAGGUAACUCAGUUGGACCCUCGAAUCUUAAUUUCUACUGUAAGUUACACUAUCAUUUGAGUUGCAUCAAUUGGUGCUCAAGUUCAAGAAGAUAGUAUCACUCUUUUUCAUUUGAUCAUUGAAACUGUUUCACAAAUCUCCCUCUUUCUGUCUGUGGUAUUUCUUCCACUAACAUUAUCACUCAGGUAUAUUCUUCCUAUCUCCUUAUCAUUAUAUUGUGUUACUGUGGAUUCGGGAAAAUGAAAGAAACAAAAUUGUUCUUGCAAGCAAAAUUUUGGUUGGUUUUACUAGGAUGUUCCAGAAUUGUAAGGUGUCUUUCAUACAAAAGGCCUGCUAAGUUGUUCACUGUAAAUUUGAAUGGUACAUCUUCUUAUUCCAUGGUAGUCACUCCGGUUUAAAUUUUGGUUUAAAUCAAUAGUAAUUUUUGCACAGAGGAAUCACUUAUUGAGGAGAAGUCGCUGGAGUUGGUGAGUCCUUCUUCCGGUUUUGUUUUUGUGAGUUUCACUCCUUAAUUAAUCUAAUUUUUGUAUGCGAAUGCUAUUUCAUUUUGAAUUUUGUAACAUGAAAUCGAGAAUGCUAUAUCAUUUUGCGUAAUUGAUGGGGUUUAGAAACAUUCCGCUAUUUUGAUUCGUUGUUGGAUGGGCAUGGGUUUUUACUGUUGUUACUAAUCCAAAGAAUAUUUUUCAUCUUCAUUUGCUUAUGUCUUCAGGUUGGUGUUGUAGCUAACAGUACGUUUUGUAAGAUGCAUAGAUAAUGGUGAAUGUAACUAUGUAAGUGGGGGAGGUGACUUAAAUUUCCUGCUUACAUAUGGAAGUCUUUUACUGUAUAUAUUUUGGAAGUUUGUGAAAAUUGCAGAAAAUUGAUCUGCACUAUUUCAUUGAUCAAGUAUAAGUUUUUUCUACUGAUUGGGUCGUUCGUUUUCCAUUUUUCGAAUCAUUGGAUGUUUCUCCAGUACCAGGGACAAGUUAGGUACUUGCUUCACAGGCUGGGGAGUCCCGAAGGCAGUUGCUUAACAUCGACAUCUUGUCCCUAAUAGAGGUAAAAUAUCGUGUUCGCUCUUACUUAUUUUUCGCUUCACAAAAUCUUGACUCUAGUAUGAAUCUGUGGCGCAAUGGUAGUACAUCUGACUCUGUCAGAAGGUUGCGUGUUCGAUUUAUGUCUGAUUCUCUGAACGGUUCGAAAUAAGAUUACUGCACAUUUCAUUCUUUUUAUAUGCAAUUUGUUUAUCCAUCGCCUUCAUGCUAUGCUAUAGUUAUGCUUACGUCAAUAAAUUCCUUGUAGAUUCACAUUCAGAUUCUAGACUAACUCUCACUAGAACAAUAAUAAGAUUUUAAAUUUUUUUAAAUAACUGAAACAACAAUAAGUUUUAACAAUUCAAAACAUGAUGGUACCACAUUAUAAAUAUUUAAUGAAAAGUAAAAAGGUCUGUGAUUAAACCCAUUGUCAGACAACUAACUUUUAUUUUGAGUAAACCAGCCACUCAAAUUUGCUUGCAAAGAAAUGGUAGAAUCCUCAUUUGUAGGUGCGGCAUUGGCUAAAUGUGCGCUUCUCCGUGUCUGAGCUCCUCCAAAUGCAGUCGCAAUACCAUCAACAUGCCCAGAAAAUACUCCAUGUCCAAAAGCAGGCGCAACACUAUCGACAUUUCCAGAAAAUACUCCUUGUGUAUGUGCACCAUUCUCAGAAUGGAUAUAUGGUAUUCCGUAGGCAGUUGCAGCAUUGCCAACACUUCCGUAUAAAGAUCUUCGACUCUACUCUCUGAUCACCAUCAUCCAUGACAGCAUAUAUCUACAACAAACAGAUAGUAGUUAAGUUAGAAUCAAAAACUAAAGUUAUAUGCAUACUAAUAAGUUAUUGAUUGAGCAAGCUAUCAUACAACCUAUAUUCGUAAGCUAAAACGUUAACCCUGUCACAUUUAUUUUUUCUGAAUGAAACUUUUAUAUAAAAUUGAUUUAAGAUUAAUAAACCC
Long non-coding RNA from Papaver somniferum (opium poppy), 2100 nucleotides. RefSeq lists it as uncharacterized. The record is from RefSeq and is a predicted model, not a curated record. The transcript has 3 exons. Lineage: Eukaryota; Viridiplantae; Streptophyta; Magnoliopsida; Ranunculales; Papaveraceae.